GUAGGUGAACCUGCGGAAGGAUCAUUAGAAGAAGAAGUGGAGUGUAGGCUUCGGGCUUAGGGAACCUGGAAACCCUGGGUUUCGCUUCUCAGCCACGAUGAUGGACACAGGAUUUUUGGUGUGCCGAUGCCGAGCGUGAAAGGGAGAUCCUCUCUCGCGAGACCUGCCCGUUAACCGCAUCAGGCCCGCUGGGGACACAGGAUUGAAACUCCCGGAGAAACCGUGUUGGAGCCACUGCAAGCAAGGGGAG
RNAcentral lists this unclassified non-coding RNA (250 nucleotides) under plant metagenome. Its description in RNAcentral is "partial contains small subunit ribosomal RNA, internal transcribed spacer 1, and 5.8S ribosomal RNA". The record is from RNAcentral.